This 199-nucleotide unclassified non-coding RNA is filed under the name rhizosphere metagenome. RNAcentral describes it as "partial ribosomal RNA internal transcribed spacer region". The record is from RNAcentral.
GUAUAUGGAAUACAUUUCUAUAAACCCACUCUGCGUAUCUUGUAACUGUUGCUUCCAUGGGACUUGGACCUAUGUCCACACCGGCUUUACCGCUGGUGAGCGCCCAUGGGAGGAGAAACAAAACUCUUCUUUGAACUGUAGUCAGUCUGAACAUGUUUUUAUAAACGUUAAAACUUUCAACAACGGAUCUCUUGGUUCU